This 738-nucleotide ribosomal RNA is filed under the name uncultured bacterium. Its description in RNAcentral is "bacterial SSU rRNA". It matches the Rfam family "Bacterial small subunit ribosomal RNA", at positions 91 to 822 of the family's 1533-position model. The record is from RNAcentral.
UCGACCGGCGCACGGGUGGAGUAACGCGUAUCCCAACCUGCCCAUCACUUGGGGAUAACCUUGCGAAAGUAAGACUAAUACCCAAUGACGUCUCUAGAAGACAUCUGAAAGAGAUUAAAGAUUUAUCGGUGAUGGAUGGGGAUGCGUCUGAUUAGCUUGUUGGCGGGGUAACGGCCCACCAAGGCAACGAUCAGUAGGGGUUCUGAGAGGAAGGUCCCCCACAUUGGAACUGAGACACGGUCCAAACUCCUACGGGAGGCAGCAGUGAGGAAUAUUGGUCAAUGGGCGAGAGCCUGAACCAGCCAAGUAGCAUGCAGGAUGACGGCCCUAUGGGUUGUAAACUGCUUUUAUAAGGGAAUAAAGUGAGUCUCGUGAGACUUUUUGCAUGUACCUUAUGAAUAAGGACCGGCUAAUUCCGUGCCAGCAGCCGCGGUAAUACGGAAGGUCCGGGCGUUAUCCGGAUUUAAUGGGUUUAAAGGGAGCGUAGGCCGGAGAUUAAGCGUGUUGUGAAAUGUAGACGCUCAACGUCUGCACUGCAGCGCGAACUGGUUUCCUUGAGUACGCACAAAGUGGGCGGAAUUCGUGGUGUAGCGGUGAAAUGCUUAGAUAUCACGAAGAACUCCGAUUGCGAAGGCAGCUCACUGGAGCGCAACUGACGCUGAAGCUCGAAAGUGGCGGGUAUCGAACAGGAUUAGAUACCCUGGUAGUCCCGCACGGUAAACGAUGGGAUGCCCGCUG